This is a non-coding RNA of Trichobilharzia regenti, 46 nucleotides long. NCBI's taxonomy places the organism in Eukaryota, Metazoa, Platyhelminthes, Trematoda, Strigeidida, Schistosomatidae. The record is from Rfam.
GUACCACUGAAGAGUCCCAAACUAGGAUGAAACAGCUGUCCAGUAC